ACGGUCAUAUAACGUUCGAACACGGUUCCCGUAUGAUCAUCGAAGUUAAGCAACGUCGAACCUAGUCAAUACCUAGAUGGGUGACCGCUUGGGAAUAGCAGGUGUUGCAAG
This is a non-coding RNA of Acanthosepion pharaonis, 111 nucleotides long. The record is from the annotation of a GenBank genome assembly. Lineage: Eukaryota; Metazoa; Mollusca; Cephalopoda; Sepiida; Sepiidae.